CCUACGUGAGACAGCAGUGAGGAAUAUUGGUCAAUGGGCGAGAGCCUGAACCAGCCAAGUCGCGUGAGGGAGUACUGCCCUAUGGGUUGUAAACCUCUUUUGUCGGGGAGCAAAAGACGGACGUGUCCGGCUGUGCGAGUACCCGAAGCAAAAGCAUCGGCUAACUCCGGGCCAGCAGCCGCGGUAAUACGGAGGAUGCGAGCGGUAUACGGAUUUAUUGGGGUUAAAGGGUGCGCAGGCGGGUUUUUAAGUCAGUGGUCACAUAGUGGGGCUCAACCCCAUCCAGCCGGUGAAACUGGGGAUCUAGAGUGUGCGAGAGGCAAGUGGAAGGCGUGGUGUAGCGGUGAAAUGCAUAGAUAUCACGCAGAACCCCGAUUGCGAAGGCAGCAUACCGGUGCACAACUGACGCUCAGGCACGAAAGCGUGGGUAUCGAACAGGAUUAGAUACCCUUGUAGUC
RNAcentral lists this ribosomal RNA (458 nucleotides) under uncultured bacterium. Its description in RNAcentral is "partial 16S ribosomal RNA". It matches the Rfam family "Bacterial small subunit ribosomal RNA", at positions 338 to 795 of the family's 1533-position model. The record is from RNAcentral.